This 63-nucleotide transfer RNA is filed under the name Calvisia medogensis. RNAcentral describes it as "tRNA-Leu". Lineage: Eukaryota; Metazoa; Arthropoda; Insecta; Phasmatodea; Lonchodidae. The record is from RNAcentral.
ACUGAUUUGGCAGAAUUAAGUGCAUUAAAUUUAGAAUUUAAUAAUGUUUUAUGACAAUUAGUA